Molecule: ribosomal RNA, 497 nt
Filed under: uncultured bacterium
Lineage: Bacteria
Description: partial 16S ribosomal RNA
Rfam family: Bacterial small subunit ribosomal RNA
Source: RNAcentral
GAUGAACGCUGGCGGCGUGCCUAAUUCAUGCAAGUCGAGCGAACAGACGAGGAGCUUGCUCCUCUGACGUUAGCGGCGGACGGGUGAGUAACACGUGGAUAACCUACCUAUAAGACUGGGAUAACUUCGGGAAACCGGAGCUAAUACCGGAUAAUAUAUUGAACCGCAUGGUUCAAUAGUGAAAGACGGUUUUGCUGUCACUUAUAGAUGGAUCCGCGCCGCAUUAGCUAGUUGGUAAGGUAACGGCUUACCAAGGCAACGAUGCGUAGCCGACCUGAGAGGGUGAUCGGCCACACUGGAACUGAGACACGGUCCAGACUCCUACGGGAGGCAGCAGUAGGGAAUCUUCCGCAAUAGGCGAAAGCCUGACGGAGCAACGCCGCGUGAGUGAUGAAGGUCUUCGGAUCGUAAAACUCUGUUAUUAGGGAAGAACAAAUGUGUAAGUAACUAUGCACGUCUUGACGGUACCUAAUCAGAAAGCCACGGCUAACUACGUG